This is an RNA transcript of Cataglyphis hispanica, 2667 nucleotides long. RefSeq lists it as uncharacterized. The transcript has 7 exons. Lineage: Eukaryota; Metazoa; Arthropoda; Insecta; Hymenoptera; Formicidae. The record is from RefSeq and is a predicted model, not a curated record.
GCGAAAAUAGCGCCAAGUGGAGCGCACCGACGCACCUGAAUAAAUCAAGCAAAAUGGCGAUUCAGGAUUCAGUCAGCGAAGAACCGUCAAGGAUUAUUGUCAGUGCUUCAUGUAUGCUCAAAUAAUUUAAAAACAAUAGCGAAUGUGACACGUUUCAAUAACGUACAGAAUGCAAACAGCUCGUUUUUAUUGCCAUUUUAUUUGGAGUAUUUGGUGUUUCUUACAAGUUACUGCCGCGGACUAUGUUAAACUAUCACACGAUGGACCAACUAUUUUGGGUGCUACAAUCACUUUUAGAGCGGAUUUGUAUAAGAAAGAUAACGUACGACCACAUGGGAGAUACAAAUACAAAUGGAUGGAUAAUUCAUUGAUGAAACAUGAACAUGAGGUUGAAACGACAAAUACAACAACAUUUUGGAAUAUAAGUUAUCCACGAGAAAUUAACACUCCUGGAACCUAUAUAGUAGCAGUAGAAGUCAAUUCUUUUUCUUGGCCAUUCUUCUGGCCUUUUGACACAAGCGCUCGUAUCCAGUUUGAGAUUACUGAAUAUCUUAAUGGUAAUAUAACUAUAAAACAAAAUGAUAAAACCAUAGUAGGAGAUUAUAUCUCUUCAUUGAACGAAACAAAAGUAAUGAUAGAUAUACGUAAAGGAGAUCACGACUUUAUAAUGCAGAACGCAACGACGAUAUCAACAUAUUGGUUUAUCGAUUGUCAGUAUUAUGGCCAAACAAAUGAUUUCGCCUUUGCUUACAAUUUUACAACUCCUGGGAUGACACACGAAAUAGGGGCUUUAGUGAUUGUUUCGUACAAUUCACCAACGACUACAACCGUUUUGCCAUCUACAACUACGACUGCGCCCACUAAUGUAACGACAAUCUCACCAAAUACUACUACAACAAAUUCAAAUGGAACUCAUGCCACAGUUGUAACCACAACUAUGUUACCAACAACUGUCGUGAGUGCAAAUCCGACGGUGAAAUUUCCAACGGUUGCAUCUCCGAUCACUGUAAGCACAAUAGAUAUUGCCAAUAUAUCUGCACCACCUUACAUUUGUUCGAAUACUUCUCUCAUUCCGCCGGAUCCUAACAAAAUAUAUGGAUACUUUCACAAGAAAAUCUACGUUCGUGCUCCUAUAUCAAACAUCUCAGUGGAAGGCACAAACUGGAUCCAACCAUGGGAUAUGCUGUCUUUGAAUGUAACUUGCAAGGGAUCAGGGCCUUUUUCAAAAUGUCUUCAAUUCUACCGUGGAAAAUACAACGUAACGGGAAACGAGACAUGCAACAAUGUGGAACACUUAAAUUCUUGCAAUUUCUCCAUUUUUCAUUAUUUUCUUCAGCCCAGUGUCUAUACAAUAUUGAUCGUAUUAAACAACGAAGUUAGUACACAAAUUUAUCCGCUAACGAUAAACAUUUACAAAGUUACAACAAAACCGCAAUUGUCAGUUAUUGUAGUACCAGUCUCUUGUUCGCUCGUUGCCGUGGUGUUGAUAGUAUUUGGUGUAGCGUAUUAUAUUCAGAGCAGAGCAAGAUUUACGGUAGAAGUUGCGGACUUCGAUUUUGGGCAAAGUAACCCAGAAAUGGAAUACAAAACGUUUACAGAACGUUUGCGUGACUCAUUUAAUAACACUGUAAGACCUGGAAGCAAACAGCCAAAUACAUGCUAUUAUGGCAGCAUGAAUCAGUGAAAAGGCUGUGUGAACUUAUGUGACUUGUCUAUUGCCGUCUAAUCUUUCUGUUAUUUUCAAAUUCAGGAUAUGAACCGCUUAACAAUCCACAAACACUUCAAUGAUGUAUUCAUGAACAAAGAAGCAACUUUCCAAAAAGCGAUGUUAAUCUGUAACAAAUGUUUCUGCGAAGAGUGAGCGGGAAUUGAACGAAGGCUUCAUCAAACGAAAAAUAUUCAUCAAUAAAUUCAACAAUAUUGAUGGUGAAAAGGUUCGUCGAAUUUUGUUGUUGCGAUACAUUUUUAAAUGAUUUCACUUAAAAAUCGAUACUGAUUAUAAAAAGAAAACACAUUUGCAAUUGUUCAAGUUUUUUAAACAAUUUGCAAAUGAUUAAAUCGAAAAUUGUAUAUAGAGACAAGGAAGAAAUGUAUAUAUAGGCUGUGAAUUUAGUAUACAACAAUUAUUUAAAAAUAGAACUGCUCUUAAUAUGGAGAAUUUGAUAUUUUUUUUAAAGUUGCAACAAGAGUAUAUGAUCAAUUUAUAAUCCUUUUUAUGAUUUAUAAUACACUUUAGAUUGAUUACUAGUGAUAUACAUGUUUCGCAUUAUAAAUAAUUCUAUACUUUGUUAAUUUUUAUAUAUAUACACGUGUAUAGAAAUUGCUAAUAUAUGAAGAGGCUUUAUCCAAAGGCAGAAUUAGGUCACAUUCGUAUUAAGAAAUCUUUUUGUGUAUAACGCUUUGUAUUUAAUAUAAUUUGUCAUCAAGUUUUUUUAAGACUGGUUUAAAUAGAGCCAUUGUAUAUUAUUAAUUUCAAGAAGUGAAGUGAAUUUUUAAGAUGAAAUUUAAAGGACGAAAUAGCGCGUCUAUGUGAGAGUCUAUUAAGUUAGAUGAACUAUUUAAUUCCAAAAAUAUAAUUAUUACAUGAUAUUGUGUGGCAUAAAAAUAUUUAUCUAUAUCUUUAAUAAAAAAAAGAAAUAUUGAUGCAAGAAUUUAUGAUUGUUACUU